Molecule: non-coding RNA, 534 nt
Organism: Cicer arietinum (chickpea)
Lineage: Eukaryota; Viridiplantae; Streptophyta; Magnoliopsida; Fabales; Fabaceae
Source: RefSeq, a predicted model, not a curated record
GUCUCACGCAUUCACUCCCUCGUUUUGCCUAAAGACUACAAAACUACUCCUUCAAGAAACAUAAAAUAGAAAGGAACUCUAGACUCUCUACCUUUUUUUUUACAUCACUAUCAUCACCCUUGAAACAUUAAAACCAAUUUUCUAACCUCUUAUCCGCCAUUCAUCUAUAUCUCAUCAAGCACACUCUUAAUCUCUCUUGUUCGUGUUGUUUACCUCUUUGUGGGACUUAGAAUCUUUUGCUAGGAAACACUCGACAAAGACUUUCGUUUCCAGAAUCAUUCUUCAAGGUAUUGGCAUCGCGUUGUUGAGCCUCAUGAGGGUCGUUGUACCUUUUCAGGUACCUCUUUGAGAAUGAGAGGGUUGUACCAUUAUCAGGUUGAUUUACAAAGUAUGAAACAAAGUAUGUUUUUAGAAUUCUUACUCUUAUUGAGAGGAUGUUACAUGUUCAAUCAUAUAUCAGAUCCAAGGUAUGAAAACACUUUGACUAAUUUACAUCAAUUCUAAUAACUCUCUAUUGAGAGGGUUUUUCAUUCA